This 71-nucleotide transfer RNA is filed under the name Loxodonta africana (African savanna elephant). It matches the Rfam family "tRNA". From Rfam's summary of the family: Transfer RNA (tRNA) molecules are approximately 80 nucleotides in length. Their secondary structure includes four short double-helical elements and three loops (D, anti-codon, and T loops). Lineage: Eukaryota; Metazoa; Chordata; Mammalia; Proboscidea; Elephantidae. The record is from Rfam by way of RNAcentral.
CCAUAAGUGCUUCAGUGAUAGGAUUCUCACCUUCCACAUGAGAGGCCUGGGUUCAAUUCCCGGCCAAUGCA